CUGGAAUGCACUGUGGCUGAAAGCUCCGGCGCCGAAGGAUGGGUCUGCGGCCUAUCAGGGUUGUAGUGGGUGUAAUGUACCUACUAGCCUACGACGGGUACGGGUUGUGAGAGCAAGAGCCCGGAGAUGGAUUCUGAGACACGAAUCCAGGCCCUACGGGGUGCAGCAGGCGCGAAAACUUUACAAUGCGGGAAACCGUGAUAAGGGAAUCUCGAGUGCCAGCAUAUAAUGUUGGCUGUCCAGAUGCCUAAAAAGCAUCUGUUAGCAAGGGCCGGGCAAGACCGGUGCCAGCCGCCGCGGUAACACCGGCGGCCCGAGUGGUAACCGCUUUUAUUGGGUCUAAAGGGUCUGUAGCCGGCCAGGUAAGUCCCUUGGGAAAUCUGGCAGCUCAACUGUCAGGCUGCUAGGGGAUACUGUUUGGCUUGGGACCGGGAGAGGUGAGAGGUAC
Molecule: ribosomal RNA, 448 nt
Filed under: uncultured archaeon
Lineage: Archaea
Description: bacterial SSU rRNA
Rfam family: Archaeal small subunit ribosomal RNA
Source: RNAcentral